This 492-nucleotide ribosomal RNA is filed under the name uncultured bacterium. RNAcentral's name for it is "partial 16S ribosomal RNA". It matches the Rfam family "Bacterial small subunit ribosomal RNA", at positions 29 to 507 of the family's 1533-position model. The record is from RNAcentral.
AUUGAACGCUGGCGGCAUGCUUUACACAUGCAAGUCGAACGGUAACAGGCCUUCGGGUGCUGACGAGUGGCGAACGGGUGAGUAAUGCAUCGGAACGUACCCAGAGGUGGGGGAUAACGCAGCGAAAGCUGUGCUAAUACCGCAUGUGAUCUGAGGAUGAAAGCGGGGGACCGAGCAGCAAUGUUUGGCCUCGCGCCUUUGGAGCGGCCGAUGUCGGAUUAGCUAGUUGGUGGGGUAAAGGCCUACCAAGGCGACGAUCCGUAGCUGGUCCGAGAGGACGACCGGCCACACUGGGACUGAGACACGGCCCAGACUCCUGCGGGAGGCAGCAGUGGGGAAUGUUGGACAAUGGGCGCAAGCCUGAUCCAGCGAUGCCGCGUGCGGGAAGAAGGCCUUCGGGUUGUAAACCGCUUUUGGCAGGAACGAAACGGUGUCCGCUAAUACCGGGCGCUAAUGACGGUACCUGCAGAAUAAGCACCGGCUAACUACGUG